RNAcentral lists this unclassified non-coding RNA (253 nucleotides) under uncultured Alphaproteobacteria bacterium. RNAcentral's name for it is "contains 16S-23S intergenic spacer region". It matches the Rfam family "Bacterial small subunit ribosomal RNA", at positions 524 to 776 of the family's 1533-position model. The record is from RNAcentral. Lineage: Bacteria; Pseudomonadati; Pseudomonadota; Alphaproteobacteria.
UACGAAGGGGGCUAGCGUUACUCGGAAUUACUGGGCGUAAAGGGCGCGUAGGCGGCUUGGUAAGUCAGGCGUGAAAUUCCCGGGCUCAACCCGGGGACUGCGCUUGAGACUGCUGGGCUAGAGGAUGGAAGAGGGUCGUGGAAUUCCCAGUGUAGAGGUGAAAUUCGUAGAUAUUGGGAAGAACACCGGUGGCGAAGGCGGCGACCUGGUCCAUUACUGACGCUGAGGCGCGACAGCGUGGGGAGCAAACAGG